Molecule: long non-coding RNA, 41048 nt
Filed under: Citrus sinensis (sweet orange)
Lineage: Eukaryota; Viridiplantae; Streptophyta; Magnoliopsida; Sapindales; Rutaceae
Description: long non-coding RNA (CSIN_LNC003077)
Source: RNAcentral
AGACAGCGUGCACAACAAGGUACGGGUCUUUCGAAUUUCUUGUGAUGCCUUUUGGCCUUACUAAUGCACCCGCCACAUUUUGCACACUCAUGAACAAGGUACUCCAACCAUUCCUCGACCGCUUCGUGGUCGUGUACUUGGACGACAUUGUGGUGUAUAGCACCACACUCGAGGAUCAUGCCCAACACUUGCAACAAGUCCUCCAAGUACUUCGAGACAAUGAGCUCUUCCUCAAACUAGAGAAGUGCUCGUUUGCCCAACAAGAGGUAGAGUUCCUUGGCCACAAGAUUGCGGGCGGGAAGAUCAUGAUGGAGAAUGACAAAGUAAAGGCCAUCCUCGAUUGGGAGCCUCCCUCGAAAGUACCCGAGCUUCGCUCAUUCCUUGGGCUGGUGAAUUACUACCGCCGCUUCAUUAAGGGCUAUUCAGCCAAGGCGGCACCCUUGACGGAUAUGCUCAAGAAAAACAGAAAGUGGCAUUGGUUCGAAGAGUGCCAACGUGCAUUCGAGGAGUUGAAGAAGGCAAUUUCGGAGGAACCAGUCCUCGCUCUUCUGGACCACACCAAGCCCUUCGAAGUUCAAACGGAUGCCUCAGAUUUCGCCAUAGGUGGAGUCCUUAUGCAAGAAGGCCACCCAAUAGCGUUCGAGAGUCGAAAGCUAAAUGACACGGAACGCCGCUACACGGUGCAAGAAAAGGAGAUGACAGCCAUCAUCCAUUGUCUAAGAGUGUGGCGACAUUACUUGCUUGGCUCACACUUCACGAUCAUGACGGACAACGUGGCGACAAGCUACUUUCAAACUCAAAAGAAGUUGAGUCCGAAGCAAGCACGGUGGCAAGAUUUCCUUGCGGAAUUCGACUAUCGGCUAGAGUACAAACCGGGGAAAGCCAAUGUUGUUGCGGACGCUUUAAGCCGCAAGGCGGAAUUGGCAACACUUAGUAUGAGCCAACCGAAGUCCAACCUUGUCUCACGCAUCAAGGAAGGCCUCCAACAAGAUCCGCUAGCAAAGGAUUUGCUGGAGAAGGUGCUCGAGGGAAAGACAAGGCAGUUUUGGCAAGAGGAAGGCAUCCUCCUCACCAAUGGAGAUUGGCUGUUUGUGCCAAGGUGGGGAAACUUGCGGAAGGAAGUAAUCAAGGAGUGCCACGACUCUAAGUGGGCUGGUCAACCAGGAAUCGAGCGCACCACCGCACUAGUUCAAGCCUCGUAUUUUUGGCCCCACAUGAGGGACGACAUCGAGGUAUAUGUGCGAACUUGUCUUGUGUGCCAACAAGAUAAGGUGGAUCAUCAACUUCCAGCGGGAUUGUUAGAGCCGCUACCACUAGCAACAAGGCCAUGGGAGAGUGUCUCCAUGGACUUCAUCACAUCGCUGCCCAAGUCCGAAGGUUGCGGUAGCAUCAUGGUCGUUGUCGACCGAUACAGCAAGUAUGCUACAUUCAUUGCCGCACCCGUCGAUUGCAAAGCGGACGAGGCAGCCCGCCUAUUCGUCAAGCACAUUGUGAAGCUUUGGGGAGUUCCGAAGAGCAUUGUGAGCGACCGAGACCCUCGGUUUACUGGGCGGUUUUGGACGGAGCUCUUUAAGAUGUUGGGGACCGAUCUCAAGUUCUCGACAAGUUUCCACCCACAAACGGAUGGGCAGACCGAGCGCAUUAAUGGCCUCCUCGAGAUGUACCUGAGGCAUUAUGUGAGCGCUCACCAGCGGGAUUGGGCGAAGCUACUCGACAUCGCCCAAUUUUCUUAUAACUUGCAGCGAAGCGAGGCUACAGGCAAGAGUCCGUUCGAGAUCAUCAUGGGAUUCCAGCCCAUGACCCCCAAUGCCAUAGCCUCGACUUACGGAGGGAAAAGCCCCGCGGCACACAAGCUCGCCCGCGAAUGGCAUGAGGAAGCGGACAUCACGCGAGCCUAUCUCGACAAAGCCGCGAGGAAAAUGAAGAAAUGGGCGGAUACAAGGAGACGGCAUGUUGAGUACAAGGAAGGAGAUCAAGUCAUGAUCAAGCUCCUACCCCAACAAUUCAAGACUUUGCGGAAAGUUCACAAGGGGUUAGUGAGGCGCUACGAGGGACCCUUCCGAGUUGUUCGACGUGUAGGCAACGUCUCGUAUCAACUCCAACUUCCACCAAGACUCAAGAUCCAUCCGGUCUUCCAUGUAAGCCUUCUCAAGCCAUAUCACGAAGACAUGGGAGAACCAAGUCGCGGAGAAUCGAGGCGCGCGCCAACUGCCGUUGUCACCGCAUUCGACAAAGAUGUGGACUACAUCAUUGCGGACCGAACGGUUUCGAGGAGGGGCGUGCCAGCACAUAGCGAGUACUUGGUGAAGUGGAAAAACCUCCCCGAGAGCGAAGCCACUUGGGAACGGGAAGAUGAUUUGUGGCAAUUCGCUGAGCACAUCCAGCACUUCAAGCACGAGAGCGCGACGAGGACGCCGCGAGCUUAAGUGGGGGAGGAUGUUGCGGACCGCCCAAUUCGCUAGCCCAAUUGCCCACAAUUUCGGGCUAGAGAGCCAACACAAGGCCAAGAGUGCUAGCUUGGCCCAAUUCCGGAAGGUUCUAGGCAACUCUAGCACAUGUGAACAUGUAAAUAUUCUAGAAUACUUUAUACAAUUCCAGCACAUGCAAAUAGCUAGGAAAUUGUAAAAUACUCUAGAGUUUGACCAAGUUUGGCAAAGUUAGGUAAAGUUAGGCAAAGUUAGGCAAAGCCUCCCCUAUAAAUAUGGGAUGGCAUUAAGCAUUUGUAUCCAACAAGCACUGUAAUCUCUCUUUGUGCAAUACAAGUUUCUUUGGCUCAAUUGCUCUCUUCUCUUGUUUGAGAAUCUCUAGGCUUACUUAGCAACAUUCGGCAAAGUUGUCUAAGUGCCGCACGGGUUAGCUGCGCAAAACACUCAUCCUGUGACAAUAUGCUCAUGUAAAGUAGGGUAAACUGGAACCAAGAGCAUUGAAAUGUAGGUUUUUAGGGGUGGCCUCCUUGAGAUGUACCUGAGGCAUUAUGUGAGCACUCACCAGCGGGAUUGGGCGAAGCUACUUGACAUCGCCCAAUUUUCUUAUAACUUGCAGCAAAGCGAGGCUACAGGCAAGAGUCCGUUUGAGAUCAUCAUGGGAUUCCAGCCCAUGACCCCCAAUGCCAUAGCCUCGACUUACGGAGGGAAAAGCCCCGCGGCACACAAGCUCGCCCGCGAAUGGCAUGAGGAAGCGGACAUCACGCGAGCCUAUCUCGACAAAGCCGCGAGGAAAAUGAAGAAAUGGGCUGAUACAAGGAGACGGCAUGUUGAGUACAAGGAAGGAGAUCAAGUCAUGAUCAAGCUCCUACCCCAACAAUUCAAGACUUUGCGGAAAGUUCACAAGGGGUUAGUGAGGCGCUACGAGGGACCCUUCCGAGUUGUUCGACGUGUAGGCAACGUCUCGUAUCAACUCCAACUUCCGCCAAGACUCAAGAUCCAUCCGGUCUUCCAUGUGAGCCUUCUCAAGCCAUAUCAUGAAGACAUGGGAGAACCAAGUCGCGGAGAAUCGAGGCGCGCGCCAACUGCCGUUGUCACCGCGUUCGACAAAGAUGUGGACUACAUCAUUGCGGACCGAACGGUUUCGAGGAGGGGCGUGCCAGCACAUAGCGAGUACUUGGUGAAGUGGAAAAACCUCCCCGAGAGCGAAGCCACUUGGGAACGGGAAGAUGAUUUGUGGCAAUUUGCUGAGCACAUCCAGCACUUCAAACACGAGAGCGCGAUGAGGACGCCGCGAGCUUAGGUGGGGGAGGAUGUUGCGGACCGCCCAAUUCGCUAGCCCAAUUGCCCACAAUUUCGGGCUAGAGAGCCAACACAAGGCCAAGAGUGCUAGCUUGGCCCAAUUCCGGAAGGUUCUAGGCAACUCUAGCACAUGUGAACAUGUAAAUAUUCUAGAAUACUUUAUACAAUUCCAGCACAUGCAAAUAGCUAGGAAAUUGUAAAAUACUCUAGAGUUUGACCAAGUUUGGCAAAGUUAGGUAAAGUUAGGCAAAGUUAGGCAAAGCCUCCCUUAUAAAUAUGGGAUGGCAUUAGGCAUUUGUAUCCAACAAGCAUUGUAAUCUCUCUUUGUGCAAUACAAGUUUCUUCUUGGCUCAAUUGCUCUUUUCUCUAGUUCGAGAAGCUCUAGGCUUACUUAGCAACAUUCGGCAAAGUUGUCUAAGUGCCGCACGGGUUAGCUGCGCAAAACACUCAUCCCGUGACAAGUGGUAUCAGAGCUAAGGUUUGCACGCACGCAAAUUAGCUCACGAAGCAAUGGCCAACCCUUCGAACGUAGCACAAGAGGGGGUUGUUGGUGUGGAUGUUCCACCGGAGCCAAGCCGUGGCCGAGAGGGAGAACGCGCCCAAGGCAAGACUCGCGGCAAGUCCAAGGCCCUAUCCGUGGAUGCGUUGGAGCCUCGUGUAGGCACUCUCGAAAUAGCAUUGUCCGCCACUCAAGAUAGCCUCUUGGGAUUGGAGGAAAGAGUGGAUGGUCUCGAGGGAGAAUACGCCGAGUUCACGGUGGCCACAAAAGCUCUCAUCCAUGAGCAAGCGAACAUUCUCCGAGGUGAGUUUCGUUCUGCUGUACGGCCAAGGCGGAUGUACGGUACAGCAGUUUUCUUUUUCCGCAAAAACAAGGUCGCCAGAACGUCGUCGGAAUAAUUGCAUAUGCUUUAACUGUUGCUUAAGAGCUGAAUGAUGAUGAACCUAAGACUUAUCAGGAAGCUAUCACAGGCAAAAAACAAGCUGGAAUGGAAGAGGGCAAUGGAAGAAGAGAUGGCAUCCCUGAUGAAAAACAAGACCUGGGAAUUGAUUGAAAAACCAGCUAAAAGAUGGGAUACCUGGAGCUGAGCUUAGAAGAUUUAAGGCUAGACUGGUGGCAAGGGGCUUCACACAAAAGGAGAAAAGGAGGGAAUUGACUUCACUGAAGAAGUAUUUUCCCCUGUAGUGAGACAUGCUUUCAUUAGAAUUAUUCUUGCACUUGUGGCUGUUUAGGAUAUGCAUAUUGAGCAGAUGGAUGUAAAAGCACAAUUCCUGCAUGGUGAAUUACAAGAGGAAGAUGUAAUGCAACAACCAGAAGGGUAUGUGGCAUCUGGUAAAGAAGAUUUUGUCUGCUUACUUAAAAAGUCUCUAUAUGGGUUAAAGCAAUCACCUAGGCAAUGGUAUUUGAAGUUUGAUAACUUCAUGAUAACAGUAUGCCAUGAUAGGGAAGAGAUUAAUCAUCUAAAGAAAUUCUUAAGCAGAGAAUUUGAAAUACUUGGGGUAGCUAAGAGAAUUCUAGGGAUGGAUAUUAUCAGGAACAAGAGCAAGAAGAUUUUGUUCUUAACUCAACAGAGCUACAUUAAGAAGGUUCUAGUGAGGUUUGGAAUGAAUGAUGCUAAGCAAGUGUAGACACCAUUGGCAAACCAUUUCAAGUUGUCUGCGGCUCAGUGCCCUUAAAUUGAAGCAGAACAACAGAAAAUGACCUGUAUACCCUACUCAAGUGCAGUAGGUAGCCUCAUGUACGCCAUGAUACUCACCAGACCUGAUAUCUCAUAUGCUGUGAGUUUGGUGAGCAGGUUUAUGGCAAAUCCAGGCUAUGAACACUGGAGAGCUGUUCAGUGGAUUAUGAGGUACCUGAAGGGGACUUUGGAGGUUGGUUUGGUUUAUGGUGGAGAAGAUAAAAAUGGACACACACUAAUUGGUUAUGUAAAUGCUGACUUUGCUAGUGAUCUUGAUAAAAGGAGGUCACAGAUAAGGUAUUUGUUUACUCUGGGGGGCUGCACAGUUAGUUGGAAAGCAACAUUACAGAAUAUAGUGGCUUUAUCUGCUACAGAGGCAGAGUAUACUGCAGCAGCUAAAGCUUUCAAAGAAGCAAUUUGGCUGAAAGACAUGACAGCUGAGUUGGGAGCUAAGCAAGAGACUGUAACAGUAUACAGUGACAACCAGAGUGUUAUACAUCCUAGCAAGAAUCAAUCCCAUCACGAGAAAACAAAACAUAUAGAUGUUAAGUUGCAUUUCGUGAGGCUUGAGGUAUCAAGGGGAGCUAUGAAGUUGCUGAAGAUUCAUACUGAAGAAAAUCCAACUGAUAUGUUAACCAAGGUUGUGCCCACUGCCAAGUUCAUCAUUUGCAUGAACUUAGCAGGAAUCUGCAGGUGUUAAGAAGCUGUAAAUGGGGAGAAGACAAUGAGAAAUGAGGGAGUUAUGAGUGUUGAGUUCAAGGUGGAGAUUGUUGAAAUGAACUCAAACUCAUGUGAACAACUUGUCAUAUUAAAGUUGUAAAGAUGAGUGACAUGUCAUUUCAAGUUGAUCAAGAUUCCCGAACCGACAACUUGGUGAUGUCUUCCAAAACCAUUAACUCUCACGUGGUUAAUGCACACCUGUUCUAAGCUUAAACGACACGACUUGUUGUCGUUUAAGGAGGUUUUAAGUUACGCGUGAGAAACUCGUGAUCAGUUAGUUAAGGCUGUUGAUUUUGGAGGGAAUCUUCUGGAUCUGUAACGCCAGCAACAACUGAUAUAUAUAUAUAUAUACUGGUUCUGGUGUAGUCUUGUGGCAUCAAGGAGAGAGUGAUAAGGAAGGUAUAGUGAGAGUGAAGCUUUAUUGAGUGUUCUCUGUAUUGCGAGUUAUCAUUUCUGUAACCUUGAAGCUUAAUAAAGUUGCUCAUUGAGUUGUUUUUUUCAGUGGAUGUAGGCACCCUCAAAGGUGCUGAACCACUUAAGUCUUUGUGCAUUCUUGAUUCUUUGAGUUGUGUUUCUUUGAUCUGGUGAUUGUUUCAAUUAGCUUAGGUUUGGUUCUUAAAUCUUGGAGUCUAAGUUAGGUCUUGGCGUGUGAUUAAUCCAGUGAUACUAGUGUUAAUUUCACAACAUCUAACCUGUUUACCCUUUGAUGCCGUUGACCGCAAGUCACCUCUGUCCAUAGGUACAAGUUCAUAGAAUUAUUCCAUGAACUUGUAACACCUAGUGGAUCUUGAAGCUGUGACUUUAUAGCUAGCAAUGCAAGACAAUCUGCCUCGUUUGUAUUGGCACAAAAGCUUUGAUGAAAAUGAAUCAACAAGCCGAGACUGAUGGUAGCAAGGCAGCAAAAAAUGGAAAUGGAAUUAAGCAUGUUGAGUUUGAGACCAGUGAUCUGAAAAGACUAACGUAAGACAAUAAAUAAUUGUGAAUAAGAAGAGGAACUGUCGAUCAAGGUAAUAAUGCAUUGUAUGGAUAAGAUCACAGAUCUACGGCUGGCGUUUGAUUGUGAGAUUAACGGCUACAUAUGGUUUCAAUUGCAUGUGGGACCCAUGAAUUAAUGUGUGCACGAAAUAAAUAAAAUGUGUUUCUAUGGCCGAAAUUCAUGUGCAUGGAGAUGGAGAGAAUUAUGGUGGUAAUUCAGUGGGAAAAAAAUAAAUACAAUUUCAUGGAAUAAAAAAAAAAAAGAGUUUUGAUAUGGAGAGCUCUGAAAACCCUAAACCCUACGAAAACCCUAGUUUACUGAAAACGAUUCCACCACCGCUAGCUGAAGAUCGUUCCAUAAAAAAGGCUAAGUUUCGUAGCCAUGGAGCGGACGCAGAUAAUCCAACCCCCCUCUCUUUCAAGGAUGCGCUUGUGCACCCUGACCAAUACAGAAAUUCUGAUGAUACUGAGAUGGAAGAAGAAUGGGAAUUUGAACCUGGUGAUGUAACUGUCGGUGAUGAUGGCACCAUGCCCGUUAUCAAAUUUUCUAAACGAAUCCAGGAUAAAUUGAUUAAACCAUGGCAGAACUCUGUGGUGGUGAAACUGUUGGGGAGAAACAUUGGGUAUAAAGUCUUGUGUAAUCGGCUGAAGGUUAUGUGGCAUCAGAUUCAUGAUUUUUCAGUGAUUGAUCUUGAAAACAAUUACUUCCUAAUUCGCCUUAAAUCACCGGAGGAUGAUGUCUAUGCUCUAACCGAGGGGCCAUGGGUUAUCUUUGGGCACUAUUUAACAGUACAGCCGUGGACGCCUCAGUUUGACAGCACUGUUACUGACCUUGACUCUGCCAUUGUUUGGAUUCGGCUACCCGGCAUGGCUUUUCACUUCUAUGAUAAGAGAAUUUUGCGGAAGAUUGGUCAGAUUGUAGGUACCGUUAUCAAGAUCGAUUACCUUACUGAACUGCGGGAGAGGGGAAAGUUCGCAAGGAUCGCUGUCCGUAUCUCUCUUUCACAGCCUCUGUUGUCCCAGUUUAAUUUAGAUGGGAAGAUACAAAAGGUUGAGUACGAGGGAUUGCCAGUCAUAUGCUAUCAGUGUGGAAAGUAUGGCCAUAAUAGUAUUGUUUGCCAUAGUAAACAAAAAAUGAACGAAGCCAAUAAUGAUACUUCUGCGAAUAUUGUAUCAGCUAAUACGGCAGGUGGAAAGGAUGGUGUUGUAGCCAUAAGCACCAACAAGAGCGAGAAGUUUGGACCUUGGAUGAUUGUGGCAAGGAAAGGGAAGCCUAAAUUCAUUGUGGAAAAGGAGAACUUUACUGCUGCAGAGAGGAGUCAGCGAGCAACUAUUCCUGUUACAUCUCGGUUUGAUGCCUUAUCUGAGGACUCGGAAAAUAAUAAUACGGUGGAGGCUGCUGUAACGACCCCCAAUCUUGAACCCCCACAACGACAAACUAAAUCCAUUACCGAUCACUUCCACAAUCGGAAGAACUUGCCCCUGAAAACCCCUAGCAUUCUAAAACCUCAAAACCAACUAUCCAAAGGAAAGCAAGUGGCCAGAUCACACCACCCAGUAUUGAAACAGCAGAAUCUCACAGCUUCCACAUCCAUGCAUGCAAACUUACGUCCCAGUAAUACAAGAAUCCUACUUCCCACUGCCAAUGUCCCCAUCCCGAAUCCUUCACGCAUCUCCACUAGCUUCCCUCGAGACCCUACCUCUACUUUCACUUUAACAACCUUAGAUCCUCAAAAGCAUAUCGCAAUAACUUUUUCCACAAAAAACCAUGAGACCGUAGGCACCCCACCAGGUUUCCCACGUAACCAAACCUCAGUCAACUCUGAACAGCACCCUCACCCACCUCAAAUAAAUGAGCCUCCAGAGGACAAGGAGAAAGGGGAUAUAAAUUCAAUGGAGGAUUAUGUUGGUGCUUCUCAGCUUGCAUCCGGUAAUAAAGCGGAUGACAACAUGUCUGAUGAGGAAAACUCUUUUGUCAAUGAAACCCCGGGGAUGCAUGAUGAAACAGAGCUGGAGCUUUGUGCAUAAAUCUUUCAUGCUCACCCUCCUUAUUAGAUGCUUGUCAUGACGAUUUCCGUACUAUUCUGGAAUGUACAAGGGGCGAGGUCCCCAUCUUUUAGACGAGCUUUUGCUACCUUAGUUAAAAGCUAUAACCCUACGAUUGUUGUGAUCCUAGAGCCAAGAAUCAACGGCAAGAGAGUAGAUGAAUUUAUUAAAAAAAGUGGCUUUGACCGUUCUCAUCGUGUGGAGGCUACUGGUUUUUCCGGGGGUAUUUGGAUCUUGUGGAGGAAUUUUUUUGACGUCGAGAUUGCCCUCAAUCAUACUCAGUUUAUCCAUCUCAAAAUCAGUGUACAGAAUGUCCUCCAAUCUUGGGUCACUGCAGUCUAUGCGAGCCCAAAUUCAGCUGGACGUCGUGCUCUUUGGUAUCAUUUGAAUAACAUUGCGGAGUCGAUGCAUGAUCCCUGGAUUAUGGGGGGCGAUUUUAAUUCAAUUUUAUAUGCUGUGGAAAAACGUGGGGGUUCGGCUUUGAUCACGGGUAUUUGUCCUAGCUUCCACUCUUGGUUUCAUACUAAUCACAUUGUUGACUUGCAGUUCAGUGGACCUAAAUACACAUGGGCUCGCGGGAAUCUUUCAAAGCAGCUGGACCGUGCUAUGAGCAACCAGGAAUGGAUUCUAAAAUUUGAUAAUUAUUCGGUUACUCACUUGCCUCGGGUUGAAUCUGACCACCGGCCGAUUUUGGUCCGUUUUGAGCGUCAGAUUGGUUGUAUGGGGAGUGCUAAACCUUUUCGUUUUUUAGCUGCUUGGAUGACUGAUAACCGUUUUGGGGACUUUAUACAGGAUAGUUGGCAUAAAAAUCUCCCUUAUUCGCAAGCAGCUUCUAUGUUUACUAGUAAGGUGGUUCACUGGAAUAAAGAAGUUUUUGGAAACAUUUUUCAACGGAAAAAGCAGCUGCUAGCCCGUAUUGGAGGGGUUCAAAAGGCCUUAGAGAGUAAACCCCUUCGCAGCUUGUAUCAUCUCGAGGCCAAAUUACAACAGAAAUUUGAAGAAAUCUUAUCUCAAGAGGAAUUAUUGUGGUAUCAAAAAUCCCGCAAAGCUUGGAUCAGCUAUGGGGAUCAGAAUACCUCAUUUUUUCAUCAAAAAACUAUUACAAGGAGGGCUCGGAAUCGUAUCAAUGCUAUUAAGGAUGAUAGAGAUAUUUGGCUUUAUGACACCCAAAACAUUAAGUCUCAUGCCGUGUCCUUUUUCUCCACUCUCUACAAAUCUGAUCAAGACUCUCAUCGGCCUUAUCCUGUGCAAGGGUGUUUUCCUCGCAUUGAUCGUAUUAAUUUGUCAAUUCUUGCUAGCUCGAUUGACAACGAGGAAAUUCGUCAGGCAGUAUUUCAGAUGCAGCCUUUCAAAGCGCCUGGUAUUGAUGGCUUCCCGGCUGGAUUUUAUCAAAGUCCAGUGUUCGAUUAAUUAUGGAGACUCUUUCUGUUCUGGCAUACAAGAUAUCUUCAAAUCCCACAGUGUUCUUAGUGAAGCAAAUAAAACCCUCAUUGUACUCAUCCCAAAAUCGGAGCAUCCCACUUCCUUCAAGAUGUAUCGCCCUAUCAGUCUUUGUACCGUAUUUUACAAAACGGUGACUAAGAUUAUUGUCAACCGAUUGAAAAAUAUUCUCCCUGAUCUAAUUGGCCCCCAUCAGACAAGUUUUGUCCCUGGCCGGCAUAUCACUGAAAACAUUAUCAUUGCUCAAGAAGUGGUCCAUUCCAUGCGACGAAAGGUGGGCAAAAAAGGCUUCAUGGCUAUUAAAGUUGAUCUGGAAAAAGCUUAUGAUAGACUGAGCUGGAAUUUUAUCUAUGAGACCUUAACGGAGUUAGCCCUGCCUUUGGAUCUUGUUCGAUUAAUUAUGGAGUGCAUUACUUCUACGAGUAUGAAUAUUUUAUGGCAUGGAGAAUUAACGGAUGACUUCUCUCCUAGUAGGGGUGUAAGACAAGGUGAUCCUUUGUCUCCCUAUAUUUUUGUUCUAUGUAUUGAAAGAUUGAGUCAUGGGGUAUAUCAUUCCAUUCAUCAAGAUCUUUGGAAGCCUAUUCGCUUAUCUCGGCUGGGUACUCCAUUAAGUCAUCUUUUCUUCGCGGAUGAUCUUCUCCUCUUUGUCGAGGCUACUAGUGGGCAAGCACAGUGCAUCAAUUCAGUCUUAGAAGAAUUUUGCUUGAGCUCGGGCGCAAAAGUCAAUCAAUCCAAGACACAUGUUUACUUUUCUAAAAAUGUCCCGGAUGUUGUAGCCAGGAGCCUAGGGCGAGAUUUGGGUUAUACAGUCACGAAGGAUCUGGGCAAGUACUUGGGCAUGCCUUUGCUGCACAGUCGUGUUUCUAAGCAAACGUAUCAAGGGAUUUUAGAUAAAAUGGACCAAAAGCUUUCGGGAUGGGCAGCCUCUCAGCUUUCUCUUGCAGGGCGUAUCACUCUCACCCAAUCCGUCCUUCAAGCAAUUCCAAUUUAUGCUAUGCAGACUACAAACUUACCGGGAAGUAUUAAGACUAAACUGGAUCAAAUUUGUAGACGGUUCUUGUGGAGUGGGAAUGAUGAGCUACGAAAAAUGAGCUUAGUUAGUUGGCACAACAUUUGCCAACCAAAAAUGGCGGGUGGUCUCGGGUUCAAAAGAUUGGAUAUCAUGAAUGAAGCGCUGCUCUUGAAGGUUGCUUGGGAAUUAAUCACGGAGCCUAACAAACUUUGUGUCCAAGUGCUAUCCACAAAAUAUGGAGUUUCUUCAUCGGAUAUUCCUCAUGCACUAUCUACUCGGUACGGCUCCCAUUUGUGGAAAUCUGUGGGUCGAGUUUGGGAUGAUGCUAAGAGAGGGUUACGCUGGAACGUUGGUAAUGGGUUGAAAGUAAAAUUUUGGUGGGACUGUUGGGCAACGACACCCCAUCCUCUUGCGGAGUUAGUCUUACAGCCGAUUCCCCCUGACCUUUGUGAUUUGUAUGUUGCCGAUUUUGUCUCUACAGAUGGCUCUUGGAAUUGGCCAAAGUUUAGUCAUAUCCUGCCCCAUCAUGCAGUGAUGGAAAUUGCCUCAAUCCUCCCCCCGUCAGCUUGUAAUGGUGUUGAUCAAGUCUACUGGGCAGCCUCUCCACAAGGAAUCUUUACGGUUAAAUCUGCUUAUGAAUUUUUGGAUCACUCUCAUGUGCAGGACAAGGCCAUUUUAUGGCAGUUAGCCUGGUCCUGGAAGGGCCCGCAAAGCAUCAAGAUUUUUAUUUGGCUGGUUCUUCACAAUAGAUUAAAGACUCGGGCAGAGCUAGCUUCACGACACUUGAACAUUGAUCCAUAUUGUGAAAGGUGUGGUGCUGGUUUAGAGAAUACGAUCCAUGUGCUCUGUGACUGCCCUUAUUCGAGAGCGGUUUGGCUACGGCUUAUUCGAGGAGACAAUCAGCAGCAUUUUUUUGAGUCUAGCCUUGCAGACUGGAUGUCCGAGAAUUUGCAACCCCAGAGCACCUCCCGUGGUAAUAAACUUUGGAGAGUCAUCUUUGGCGUUGCUAUUUGGCGGCUUUGGUUUUGGCGAAAUCGGUUUAUUUUCACCAAAGAUUAUUGGGAGAGCACUAGCAUAGCAAUGGAUAUAAAAAUCAGGGCAGCUGAAAUUCAAAGAUGUAAUUCUUCCCUGAUUGCCACUGGCAGGAAUUGUAUCGAAAAAUGGAUUCGCUGGAGUGCUCCUACUUGGCCUUGGGUGAAGUUGAAUACUGACGGUGCCAUGAAACCUUCAGGCCACGCAGGAGCUGGCGGGCUCAUUCGUGAUUACAGAGGAGUUUGGCAGCUCGGUUAUAGUGCUAACUUAGGCGUUUGUUCAGUAACAUCUGCUGAGCUUUGGGGUUUACUUCAUGGGUUAUCCAUAGCUUGGCUUUAUGGCUUUCGUAGGGUGAUAGUGGAAGUGGACAGCAAGUGUAUCUUGCAGUUAGUCUCCAUUUCAAACCCAGUCACCAAUGAGCACUCUUCUCUAAUCCAAGCCAUCCAAGCACUUCUCCGACGUGAUUGGCUGAUUCAAUUGAACCAUAUCUAUCGGGAAGCAAAUGCAGCAGCAGACUUCCUGGCUACCUACAGCUUAUCCUUUCCUUUAGGUUUACAUUGCUUUCAAUCUCUCCCUUCAAAUAUGCUUAGCAUAUUAAACAAUGAUGUUUCUGGGGUUGCACACUCUCGUUUAGUGUUGCCUUAGCUCUUUUCAGAGCCCUUUAUUAAUCAAAAAAAAUAAAUAAAUAAAUAAAUACAAUUACGCUCCAUGAUCUGCUUAAAUAUAUUUGUAAAUCUCCUAGGUUUAAAAAAUAAUCAUAUAAAUAUCUUUUUUAUUAUUUUACUUUUCGACUCUAUUUUCCUAGAUACAUGGACUUCAAUCUAAUAUUUUAUAAUAAGGAUUUAUCUGUGAUACUAUAUUAUAUUUUUUAAGUAUUGAUAGCGGGAUUGUUGGGCACUUUUAAAUUUAAGUGUUUUGAUCUCAGUCAUUUAUUUAAUAUAAUUUAAUAAAAUAAAUAAAUAAUUAAUUAAUUAAAAGAUAACGGGUGAUUUUUAGGUUUCAAGUAAUUAAAACAAUACAAUCUUGCUAUUUUGAAUAUAAUUGGCUUAACCUAAAAAUAACCACAUGACAAAUGCAAGUUAUAAAUUAAUGAACAGAAGAAGCAAAAUGUUUGUAAAAAUCACUUGCAUCAAUCUGCUCUUACUAUAACAAACUUAGUCCAAUCCUUGGAAAAAAACACCGGUUUUCCACUCAAAUUCUACUGCCACAAUUGUUCGCGGGUUGUGCCGAGUGAUCGAAAGCAAGAAGCGUAGUUAGUUUCAGUCUUAGACAUGAGUUUAAGUACCUGAAAAAUAAUCAUCGAUAGCAUCUUAUACUUUUUAAAAAGUAAUCUAGUGGGAAUAGGACUUAAAUUCAUAAGAAUUCACUAUAAAUCAAUUAAAAUAACAAUAGCAGUUCAAAUUUUUGGGCACCAAGUGUUGGAAUAAAUCAUACUUUUCUAGAUUCAAUUUUAAAUGAAGCAACUUGAGAUAACAUAUUUAUUGUAUCUCUUUUUGCUUUUUUUUUUUAAAAAAAAAUUCUGAAAUCAUCCUUUUAACUGGAUUGGUAAUUGUUAUUUUAAAAAUAAUUAAAAUAAUAAAUAAAAACAUAAAUUUAAAUAAAAAUAAUCUCUAAGUUACAUUUAUUGGAACUGACAACUAAUAAGAAUAAUACAAAAAUGAGUAACAUGUAAGUGAUCUAUGUGGGACCAAUAUCUCAUUUUCACCUUUUUUUUUUAUAAUUGUGAGUUACAUUAAAAUAAAUGUAUUUGUGGGAGAAUAAAGUGAAGUUAGAAAAAAUAUCACAUCGUAAAUAUUGUUUGACCAUUGAAAUUUUAUUAUUAUUAUUUUUAUGAUUCAAAGUCUGAGAAAUCACAAAUCCUUGAGGUUGUUUGACAAUUAACAUAAUUUUUGGUAUUAUUAUUUAUUUUUACAUGAUUUGAUUGGGUUACUUCGUUCAUAUUAACAAAUUCAGUUCAGCUCAAUUAUUAAUUUUAUGGGCAUUUUUGAUAGUGAUGGAUCACUUGACACAAAAGUAUAGUGCUCCGGGUCAAUUUGAUUAGGUUCCCCCACGCGUGCAUUAUCAGAACCUUCGGGAGCGGCGGGUUUUGGCCGUUUAUGCUUAGCCUGACAAACAAUUCCCUUCAACUUUGGCGCUUUGUAGAAAUUUCCAUGAUUUUGAUGGAUUUUUGAAGUCAAUUACGUCGGUAAUCAAUUUUGAGUAAUAAAAUGGAUUCAAUACCACUAAUUGGCUCCGUCCAUUUUAAUGGCUUUUCCGAUAAGAAUAAUUUUAAUGAGAAAAGUAUUUUUCAAAAUUUUUCGAUCUUUUAUUUGAAUCAUUUAAAUAGACACAGACGUGUAUUUUGUAAGCGAAUGCGACCUUUUUUUUUUCUUUUUUUUUUAUAAAAAAAACAGAAAAUAAACUUUCAUUAAACAUCACAGUAAUAUUACAAUACAAUAGAUUUGUCGCAAUAUCACUUACGUACAUACACAAAUUAGAUAUAAAAAUGUAUUACUUACCACAGGGCCGGCUUUAGUGUAUAUGGGGCCUAAGGCAAAAUUUUUUGUGGGACUUUUUUUAUUUUGUAAUUUUAAUAUUUAAUGAAAUAUAAGACUAAAAAAUUAUACGACUUUUAACUCUUGAAUUUUAAUAGUAAUAAAAAAUAUCUUAAAAAUUUUCAAAAACCAAACCUAAAAAAAUAACCAAGAAAAUAUCUUUUUUACUUCCAUUAAAAUUAUUACAAAGAUAAACAAACAAAUAAAUACAAACAAUAUUAUUUUCAAAGAGAAUAUUUAGAAUAGUAGAAAGUUGAGAUGAUGAAUUGAUUAUCAAAUAAUAGCUAUGCACUUUGUAUUUUAAGAAACUAAUUUUUUUCUUUUUUAAAUGAAUCAAUGAAUGUAAUAAUUCUCUUCGUAAAAAAAAAGGCCAAGAAAUCUAUUUAUUUAUUAUCUUUUAUAUUACAAGGUUUUAAUGGAAAUUAAAAGGAAUAUUAAAAAUCAAAGAAUUUAAUUUUUUUAGGAAACUUAAAAGGUAAAAAAUUUAUUUAUUUUUUUGGAAAAACUAAUAAUGAAUGAAUUAAUGGCUAAACAAUUUUAUUAUUUAUAUCUCUUGAACAUUAAAGUUACCAAAUAUUGAUUUUCUACAGAAAAAAAAAAUAAUUCUUAGUUGUGGUAUAACCGUUAAUUAUAAAGAUGUCUAAUAGGCUUUUUUACAAUACAUAAUUUUAAAAAAAAUCUUUAUUAAUUAAAUAACUACUAAGAAAUACUAAAAAAAAAUGAGGCCUUAAAAAAAAUAGGACCUUAGGCAAUCCACUUAUUCGCCUAUAUUUAAAGACACCCCAAACUUACCGUCAACUGUUGGUAAGACCGUAACAAACAUACUGACGAUUAACAAAGAAAAAGUCCACUUUAAAUAUCGAGUGUCUCUGUCCCAAAACGAUAAUAUAAACAAACUAAUCGAGCUAUUCCACAUUAGCUCUUUCAGAUAACCCACACCAGUCGGGCUACAAGUCACGACUUUUGUCAUAUAAAUCUCCACUACUUUUAGCUUUCCAUACUGAUAUAGUAACACGAUUUAUGUAGAGAUCCAACCACAAUAGCUUGAAAUCUUCCAAAUCUGAGGUAUAGAAACCUUAGAUCUAGAAGAAAAGCUAGAUAUUCCAAACAAAAGAAAGGAGAAAAUAUAGAUCCACCACAGAUUAAAAUUCAGAUGGCCUGGUAACAAAACCCCAUAGAUCAAAGAUCUUGGAGUAAUCAACCUUCACAAAGAAGAAUGCUACCCUCACCAAGAGAGGAAAUAAAGCACAAAAAUUGGAAAAAAAGUUUGAAAGAAAGGUAUAUAAAUGUGACUUAAAUUGCACACUUAUAGUUGAUCAAUGCUUUGGUGCGGUCACUUCUGUAAUAUUCCAAUUCGCAUGUAUUCAUAAACAAGCCAGUGAGCCAGAGGCUUGAAAUUAACCCUUUUAAAAUAUUCGCUAGAGCAUAAAGUGAUUAUUUUGACGAGAUUUUGAUAGCAAAAUUUCUUAAUGCUUCACAUUUACUCAUCAAACUCCUAAAAUCCCAUUUCUAAUUAAGUCUUAAUGCUUCACAUUUAGUCAUUGUUGUGCGCAGAAUGUGGAAUCAAAUGCACAGAGGACACAUAAUUUACGUGAUUCAACAAUAUGCUUACGUCCACGAGAGUAAGAGAAAAAAUAAUUGUAUUACUAAUAAUUAUUAGAGUACAAAUUUGAGUAAAAAAACCUCAAUUUUUUCAGAAUCUAAAUACACCCAGUACUUUUACACACACUUGAAAGAAAAAAAAAAAAUCUCUCAAUUACACACUCUCCAAUUGCUCUCAAUUACACACUCUCCAAUUGCUCAAUCUCUUAAUAAUUCUUCACUUGAAUUAUUAAGCUCAAAUUUUUGGGAUUCUCUCAAAAUUUCACCGAGAUGGAGAAUUGUUGAAAAGUCAAAUAAUGGCUUGCCAAAUUUUUCUGUGAUUAUUUGGUGCGGUUAAUUUCGUAUUCUGCGCACAACAGUCACCAACCUCCUGAAAUCUCAUUUCUAAUUAAAAUUAAUCACCUUCACUGCAACUGCUGUCCUAUUUUCUCCCAAAAUCCCUUUGUUCAUAACUCCAAAGUUCCUUGAUCAAUCAUGUUUUGAUGAUGAAAAAUUGAAAAUUCAUCAAUCAGUAUUAGAAACAUAGUCUUUAUUGAUAUUAGAAUAGUGUAAAUAAUUACUUUCAGUGACACUUGUUAAUUGUGUCAGUAAUCUGAAUAGUGACACUUGUUUGUGGUGUCACAAAUAGAGUGUUAGUAAUUACUAUUACUACACUAUCACCAAUAUUAUGCCACCAUAGGGUUAGUAGUUGUUGAUAUUUUGUUAGUUUCUAUGAUUACUAUUACCACAGUAUUACUGUUUAAUUUAUUUAAAAAAAUAGAAAACUGAAUUGGAUCAUUGCCUAUUGAUUUAUUGGUAAGAUUAAAAGGCUCCACAAAAUAACAAAAAAAAUUGAUUUAUAUUACAAAAUCUUUCAUUUCACAUUUAAAAUAUUAUUAGUAUAUAUUACAAAUCCCAAAACUUCAAUAACCAAGAUAUGAGCUAUCCUACUGUCAUAACUAAAUAAUCUAAAUUAAAUACAUAAUGAUUUCUACCAUCCAAUCAAAUGCCUACUACUUGUGGCUAAAUUUAAUAAAUGUAGAAGCUAAAUUGAGAACGAUGACUGUCUUUAACUCUUUGAAUAUAAGUAGUGUAAUUGUGUUAUCACACCAGCAGCUUCUCUAUUCAAUAGACCGUAUGGGUUAGGACAUAAGUGAAGUUGAGGAAGAAAUACUUCAAAAACAUUCAUCAAAUCUGCAUAUGAAUACAUGGAAAAGGAAAAAAAAAAUUGGCUACCAAUUCCCAACCAUUGGCGAAACAACAAUUAAUUGAAAUAUAAUUAUUUUGUUUGAAAGAAAAAAUACUCAUAAGCUAUUUACAAAUAAACUCAAUUAUUUCAAAUGAAAAUGAGUGAAUAAGAAAGCUGUAGCUCAUUUAAUUAAAAAUACCUAAGAUAUGCAGUUUAUUCAACUAUAGAUAUAAAUAAGAAAAAAGGGAUCUAGUGAAUUUAUUCCAUUUUAGUAAAGGUUAUAUAUAUAGCAAAUUAUAGCAGACAAGAAGUUUUCAAUGUAAUAGCUACUUUCAACAAAAACAUGUUACUUUAUCCACAUCUACCAAAUGAUUUUCAUGCAUGGUUAAAAGUUAUCACAAAUACUCUAUUACAAAUAAAUCUUUGCUCAUUUCCUCAAUUUAUUCAUUCCAAAAGCCCUUUUAACAAGGCAAAAAAUAAGUUCUCGAACUGUUAUUUCCUUAAACUGUGCAUAAAAUAACUAUGAAUCUCCAUAUUUAUAUUAGACAUAAUGAAGUUUCGACAUAAAUUAUUUCAGUAAUUUGAGAGUUCGAUCCAAAAUCAUUACAACUAAAAAAAAUAAUAUUUAGAAACUUAGUUAAGCCUUUAUAAAGUGAGUAUGAGAUUUAUUAUACUAGUUAAAUCUAUUCAUGUGAACCAUUUAAAGAAUAUCACCCUAAAUUGUAAUUAAGUAUUCAUUAGUUUUGCAUGAAUAUAAAACUUUAAGAAGAUAAGAAAAUAAAAAUAGAAUAAAAUAUAAUCAUUAUAUAUUUCCACUCACAAGUAAGUAAUGUUGCAUUAACUUGAUUGACAUCAUCACCUAAAAUCACUUUAAACAUUUCCCCUAAACCUAGAAAGAAAAAAAAAACAGAACAAACUUUAAAAUAUAAUUAUCAUAUAUUAAGACAUGCAAGUAUAACAUAACUUUUUACUAGAAUAUUCAUGGAAUAAUUCAUAGUUCUUAAAAUUAAUACGCUACACUAAAUAGAUAUUUGACACAGUAAAUUAAUUUUCAAGAUAUUACUCAUAUGCUCAUCAUCCAAACUUAUUUCUUGAAACCCUUCAAAGUCUUAAACUAGGAUGUAAAACUCAAACCAACACAAAACAAGAAUGUAAAACUCAAAUUAAUCGCAAACCAUAGAAAUCAAUAAUCAAGCUAAUAUUUAAGUUAAAUCAAUUCAAUAAAAAAAGAAAAGAAAAGACUAACCUUUAAGAAUAGUCCCAAAUAUAAUGAAAAAAGAUUUACACCUUUGGUAGUUUAUUCAAGGGGUGUUCAGAAUCCAAUCCGAUCCGCUCAAUCCGUCCAAUUCGCUCAAUCCGAUCCGUAUAAAUCCGAUCCGUAGAUUGGUGGAUUGGAUAUGGAUUGAAAAUUUAAAAAUCCGCAGUCGAUGGAUUGGAUAUGGAUUUACUUCUAUAAAUCUACAGAAAUCUGUGAACAAUAAUAAUAUAAAAUAAAAAAUAAUUAAAUAAUCAAAUAUACAAAUAUAACUUGUAAAAAUUGUAAAACAAAAUAAAAGCAAAGUCACACGCACUAGCAAAAGCAAAGUAACAUAACGCCAAGUCACCAACAAUUUGCAAAGUCACCCAAAAGCAAAGUAACAUGACGCCAAGUCACCAAUAAUUUGCAAACAAAAAACCCUAAGCUUCCCCGCCGUCACACACACUAGCAACACUCAAUACUGGUUGGAUACACUCUCGACACGGAUUUGAAGGACAUCGGCCACGCGAUUCAGGCGAAAGCAAGCCAUCUUAUUUCCCAAGUCGAUCGAGCCACUUCACAUUCACUGGUUCCAACUGAACAAUUUCACUACUGCUGUACGGCCAAGGCGGAUGUACGGUACAGCAGUACUAGUCUAGUCUAGUAGUUGUUUUUUUUCUAUUAGUGUAAGAAAGAAAGUACGAAAAUCAGUACGUUAAGGUUACGAAGUCAUUUAGCCGUCUACAAAAGGAAAGGCGUCGGUACGGGUACGGAGUCACCGUCAGCUGUGUUUAUUUGAAUAAUUAGUCUCGAUGUGUUAUAUUUUGAAACUUUAAAUGUAUUAUUUUAGCUUUAUUUAAAUAAUUAAUUUAUUUCAAUUUUAUUCAAUUUUAAAUUUAAUUGGUAGCAAAAUUAUUUUUAUAUUAGAUUUUUUUUAUUUCAUUAGUUGGAGAGAACUAAAAAAUUUUAAUUCGAAAACUAAUGCGCAAAAUGGUGGAUUGUAUAUGGAUUGAGUCAAAUCCGCAUCCGAUCCACAAAUGUAUGGAUUGGAUAUGGAUUGAGUCAAAUCUGUAUCCGAUCCGCAGAUGUAUGGAUUGGAUUUAGAUUGAAUUUUAUCAAUCCGUGGAUUGAAUUGGAUUGAAAAAUUAUAAUCCGCAAAAUCAUGGAUCGGAUAUGGAUUGAUGUCUAAUCCGUAAAAUCCGAUCCGCGAACACCUCUAGUUUAUUCUAAGAUUGCAAUUCACAAUGUUGACACAUAUUUUUUUCUUGAAAAAUAUUGCAAGUUAGUAUAUUUAUCACAAAUCAGAUUUAAUAGAAAACAUUGACAGCUUGAAUUUAAGAUUUUCUUCAAUUCAAUACUAUUUGGAAUGAUAUGAAACUUACAAAACAUAAUUAGACAUGUCAAUGCACCACAAAUAAAAUUUCUAAGUCAUUUGGACAACUCCACAUUAGCUUUUCACAUGAUAAAACUAUAUAAGUCAAAACUACAUAUGAAACUGUAAAGCAGUAGUAGGUGUUUGAAUAUUUAUUAAAUUUAAAAUACUAAAUAUAUUAGAAUGAUACUUUUAAGUGGACAUAUAAGUUAAUGACAUUAAAAUUUGAGGUUAUUCCGAUAUCAUUAUGCAUGUGUUUGAUAGGAUCAAAGAUUAAUGAACAACUCUGUCAAAAGAAGUUACUGCAAAGGCAAGGUUUGAAAAAUCAUUAAAAAUAAAUUAAAAGUUCAAUCAAAGUGAAAAUUUUUCCAGAUUCGAAGUAUGCAUAUAGAAGUGUAGGCAAACAUGAUACAUAGGUAAUUUCUAUUAAAAUUGGACAACAACCAACCAUACUGAGAAAUCCAUUCAAAAUCAAAUUUAAACCUAAUUCAUUCCAAAAUUUCCAGAACUAAAAUGUUUGCAUUUAAAUUUAGUUUAGUCAAACUUUCAAAUCAAUUAAAAGUCAUUUAGUCAAGUCCUGAAACAACCAAGUUCACAACAAUAGUCUAUCAGUCCUCAAAUUUUCAGCAUAAUUUCAUAAACUAUUAAUAAACUUUUCACCUUAAAAUCAACUAUGCAGCAACUCGAGUAUCAUCAAUCCCCAUGUUAAAAGUAAAAUUAGGCAAAAAAGCAAACAAUAACCUUGCUUUUCACUAUUAAAUAUCCAAAAGUAUAAACUUAAGCACUUGAAGCCACAUAUACAUAACUAAAUGAUGAGGUGAUUCACAAAAUAAAAUCCCAAAUUGACCAAGUUCAUUACCAUAACCUCAGUGAUUUAUAAAUAUAUAAACUGCCCAAAAAAGAAAAAGGUUUCACUAAUCUAAGUGAGGAUGGGAUUGUUAUUACACACCUCUAGACUAAAUUAACAAAAUCAUUCACUUAAACACUAAGUUAACAAAAUCAUUCACUUUAAAAAGCAACAAAACCCUAGAUUUCCAAACAAAUACAAAGUCUCAAUCAUAUUCGGUAAUCACAUUAAUCAAUUAACCACAUAAACACUUAAAAAAUAUGAAUAGAGAGCAAGAUAAAGAACUACCACGAAGCUGAUUCAAUUUUUAAACCCCUGACUUUGCCCAAAUAAUUUUACACUUUCCUCACGAUGACUUCUAAGUUUUGACACCAUAAAGACAACGUCUCUUUGCACAGCUAACUAAUGAGCUUUGAACGAUUGAUGAUGGAGGUUUUGCAAUAAGUUUUGGGUUGUUACCUAGAAAGAGAAAGAGAGAGAGUGAUGGACUUAUAGGUCGUGAUGGAGAAUUGAGAUUUUUACUUCAGAAAAUUUUAGGUUUUGGGCUUUCAUAUACACCAUUAAAUAAAAUAUAUAAUAUAUAAUAAACCCAUGAUUGUCGAUUGCCAUUAUUCUUUUAAUUAACAAAUUGCAUUCAACCUAAAUCCAUAAUCACCAAUUGUAAUCAUUCUUUCAAUUAAUAAAUUGAAUUCCACCUAUAACACAAUAGCCUUUUAUUUAUUUUGUUAAAUAUUAAAUUAGAUUAUAAGCAACAAAAACCCUAGAUGGCUAGGUUUCUAAACAAGUGCAAGCUCCCAAUCGCACUCAAUAAACAUUAACCAAUUAAUAGAUAAACUCUGAAACAAUGAGAAUAGAGAAUGAGAUAAAGAGUUACCGCAACACUUAUUCGGACUUUCAAACCUUUUCUUUGCCCAAAUUCUUCACAACACUUUUUGGGUUCUUUUAAGGGAUAUUUUACGGAGGCGGCUUUCAAGGUAGAUCAUUAUUAGAGAGAGAAAGAGACAUAGAGAGAGAGGGAGGGAGAGAAAAGGAAGAGAGCUUUGGCGACCAUGGUAUAGAUUUUUGACUUAACAAAAAUUUUUAGAUCUUAGGUUUCACAUAAACCAUCCAUUAAAAAUGACAUAGUGUCAAUGGUCACUAGGUAAUUUAUUUUAAGUUUUAAUAUUUAUUUACUUAUUAAUUUAUACAUUUAAAAUGUAAUUCGUAGCCUAGUGGUUUAGCAUUUAAAAUUAAAAAGUUAUUUUCGGUUUGAUUAUUACCUUAGUGUAACGGAUCUCUGAUGUUUAAUUUACUGACACCAUAGUAUUAGUAAUUUGUAAAUCUUAUUUGUUAAAUACGGAAAAUGGCCCAAAUACAUAUAACUACUGAUACUUUUUAAUAAAGUGUCACAAAAGACCAUUUUUCUACUAGUUACACUGAUAUUUGAAUCACCAUAUUGAGAAGGGCAAUUCUAAGUUUUUAUGAUCCUCUCGAACAACAAGAUGGUAAAAACAAUUCUUGUAAUGGGUUACGAUUUUUAGAUGAGGGGGAAAAUAACACUAAUUUGUCCUCAGGUCAUUUGUGCUCCAUAUAACCAAGAAGUUUUGAAGAAGUACCAUUGAAAUCAACUUGGCUUCAUCGUCGUGUUUCUUAUCAAGUGAUGAGAACUAAACACUUAAUGAUUAUGUCAAUCGUGCUACAUUACGGAGGACUUGAUGUUUACCAAAAAAAAAAAUGAUAACUGAUAAAUGCAAACUUCAUUGACAGGAAAUAAUUGUAGAUUGUUUCUCAGAAGUACAUUAUUUUUUACUGCAUUUCUUGCCAAUGGCUUUCAUCAAACACAGAGUAACCAUUAGAGUAUUAAAUCCUGUCAUUCUCUGUGAAGGUUCAAUUUCUUGCACUAAAAGGCUAUGAUCACUUCCUUCUAAAAUGACUCAAUUGCUUUAGCAUUAUAGUUUACAUAAAUUACGGUGGCAUUUUUUUUUAUCUGAAAUUUAAAUACACCUGAAUUAGUCUGAAUUCUAAAUAGAGUUCAACGUUUGAUUUUGAAUGAUUUUUUUGUUUGAAUAGCUAAAAAAAAAAGUAUGUUGUUUUAACUCAAAAAUAUAAAAGCUAGUAUUUUUACAUUUGUACCCCUACAAAUUAUAAAUGUUAAACAAAUAAUAAACAUCUCAAAGAACAUAAAUAAAAUAAUAUAUUAUCAUAGUGUAAAUUUUGUUCAAUUGAAUAGAUACUUUUAAUAUUCUAAAUUAUUAUAUGUUAAUCGAUUUUAUUGUGAUUUACAAUGUUUCUAUUAGAAAAAUAUUCAUAAAAAAUGAUGAAGAUUAAUAAUGCUAAUUUAAAGAAAAUAAAAAGAUAAAAAUAAUCUACCACUGUAUUAUCACAAGUUAUGGAGAUUGGUAACAACGUUAAUUAUUAAAUUUUAUUCAGGUAAGGUUGAAAAUUAAUUAAUUAGAUAGAAAUAUUUUAGAAAUAUCUUUUAAUGAUAUCAUUUAGACAGUUUAAAUUAAGUAAAGAGUUUAAAAAAUUAGCUUAAUAACUUACUGUGUGAAAAUUUUCAAUUAAUAACUUAAUAACUUAAGUGAUUAAACUUAAGUACAAAAAAAAAAGAACAAGAAGAAGAAGAAGAACGAAAAAACAGCCCCUACAUAUUGUAAAUUACAAAUUUUAAGAUUUGAAUUAAUGCAAUAACCAUUUUAUGUACCUACCGGAUAAAUAUAAUACUUUUAGUUGACUUCAUAAUCACGUACCCUAUUUUUUGGGUUCGAGAGUCAACCUUUUAACCUUAGCCUAUGAUUGAGGUUUGUUUUUUUUUUUUAAUCACCUCUUCCAGAAUAGCAAUAAAUUAAUGCUAAUUAUGUGAUAAGAGAGUGAAACAAUUUUUAAAGACCAAACACAAAUCCGACUCGUUUUUAGUGGAUUUUAAUUAAUGGAUAGAUAUGUCGACGACUUGAUUUGAUAAGUUUAGAUCCCGCAACUGUUCUUAUAAUGCAUUUUCGCAUUGUGCAAAUGAGUAGUAUGAACUUUUGUUAGGCCUACCAUCGCAAUUAGCCAAAAAGAUUAUUAAAAUUAUUUUGAUUAGGGUUAAUUGUGAUUUAUCAGCUAAUAAAUUAAUUAUCUUCAAAAUGCUCCCAAACUAUUAUGUCUCUACUUAUUCCAAUAAAUACAUUAUGAAAGAAAAAAAAAUUCCAUCAUAGUGCCCCCAUUUGUCGUUAUCCUUUGAACUGUAAUUAGUGAUAAGUUGAGGUUUACAAUUAUUUAGGGGUCAGUAUUUUGAAGAUAACAAAUAUUUAGAGAAUGAACUGAAAUUAACCCUUUUGAAUAUGGUGAUAUUAUUAUAUUCCUAUAAGACACGGAUGCACACACCAACUCAACCAAUAAGUAAUUAGAAGUUCUUAACUAUGACUACUGAGUAUAAAAACAACCACAAACUCUUCUGUAUUUUUAAAAUGAUUUGCCCCAAACAUGAAGGGUAAGUUUGGUUAGUUUUAUCUAAUAUGAUAAUUAAAUAAAAUAAUCUAUAAUGGUCCUGCAAAAUAUUUGAUAGAGUCUCCCCUAUAUUUUUAUUUAUUUAUUUCCAACAUGAAAAUUUGUAAAAUAGGCACUUCCAAAAUAAUUCAAUAUUCAACUAACUUCAUUGAUCAAUCUCCUCAAACAUAAUCAUGCAUCACUUUACAUAAUAUGCUUAAAUAGUCUCAUCCAAAUAUCACCUACUAUUUCCAAUAGUAUCAGAAUAGUAUAGUGUGUCUAACGCCAAUACACAUCAAAUGUCCAUAAUAAUAAUAUCAUAAUUAUACAAUAAAAAAUGAGGUGAUCAAAAUGCUCUAAUAGUAUAAUUACCAACCCUUACAAAAAUCACAUGGUUAAAACUUAAAAUAACUAUAGUCGCUAGCUCAAAUAGUGUACAUACAGUCUCCUCAAAUAGUGUACCUGCAGUCUCCUGGGGCGCCUCGGGNNNNNNNNNNNNNNNNNNNNNNNNNNNGGGGGGGGGGGGGAGUGCGAGAUACAGUAAAAUAGGCGAGUAUAAAAUUCAGUGAGUAGAUGACAUGUUUUGAAAAUAAAAUUAUUUUAAAAAUAAAUAUGUUACUACAAUAUGCAAGUUUCACCAAACUGUGUCAAAACGAUAAGUAAAAAUAAUAAUAAUAAUAAUAAAAGGUAAUAUAUGAUGUUGUACAAAAUAAUGAUGAAAAUCAUUUCAAGAGAACAUAUACACAUGAUUUUAAAAUUGUCAUUAAAUAAAUAUUUAGGGGAAUAAAAUCGUUAUACUCAGAUCUCAUACGGGGCGAUGUAAUAACAUACUAGAAAUGUAGUGUCAUGCCUGGAGCUAUAAUGGGCAGACCAAUGACAUGUCAGCUCAUAUAUCUCAUAAUAUCUUAUCAUACCUAGCCAUAAACAAAACUUUUCUUUAUUACAUCAUAAUAAUUUACAAAGAGUGUAUCCUAUUAUAUAAUAUAAAAAAGAUUUGGCAAAAAAGGAGGUUCCGAAUCUUUCAGAGAAGGAAUCUCAUAAUCAUACAAUCACAUCUCGAACUAGUGGGCUACUAAUAAAGAAAAAUAAUUACACUAAAAUAAUCGAUUUCGAUACUGACCCUCAAGCUAGAUCAUUUAUGUUAAUCAUAUUCAGCUUGCUAAUGAAAUCAUUGAAACUAUACCCUGAAAAUCUUUUGAUGAAGAUGUCUCCAUUUUGAUGUGUAGUAGGAACGCAAGCAGGGGUGAAGCUAUCAAGAAGGCUAACCCGGGCUGUAGCCCGGGUUAGUUUCUUGAAAAAAAAAAAAUUAAUUAUAAAUUUAUUCUUUUUAAAAAACUUAUAAUAAAAUAUAAAAAUACAAAUUUCAAUUGUUUCUCCUCUUCCUUCUCGGGUUUUCUCUCUGAAAACUUGGAAUAGAAGUUGGGUAGGGUCUUCAUGAUGCUUGAUCUCUGGUUUAAAAUACUAUUCAUAGCUCUCUAGAUUUUUUUGUUUUUUACUCUUUCUUUCUUUACUCAAAAUCUUUUAAAGUAGAUUUGGAGAUUUGUUUAAGGAGCAUUUAUAACUGGUUGGUGAUAUUCUUUAAUUGUUUGUGUCCAUCAGAUUGUCCUUUAAAGGCAUUAUGGACACAAAAGAGCAAAUCCGCAAGUGUAGAGCCAUAACUCUAACAGGGGAUAGAGAAGGCAAUGUUUCUUUCAAAAGCAAUAUGAAUGCAAAGGGUGAACAAAUUGUAGCAGGGUGUCUAGUUGGUAAAGUAUUGACAAAUAGAACAAUGAACAAGGAGGGGAUUAAGAGCGGAGCCUUUGGGAGCCACAGUGUUUUUGUUCAGGUUUGGGACUGAAGCUGACAAAAGGAAAAUGAUAGCCGGAGGGCCAUGGCAUCAUGAGCAAGCCCUUGUUUUGCUCAUAGAAACGAUUAGUAUUGGAGAUGUAUCGCAACAGACUUUCACCUAUGUGUCAUUUUGGGGACAACUCAAAAAUGUGCCCAUUAUGUGCGUGGAAAAGGAAAUAAUAACGGAGAUGGGUGAAGCCAUUGGGAGAGUAAAAGAAGUUGAAACAAAUGAAAAUUGAGAUUGUAUAGGGCAGAUUAUCAGGCUCAGAGUAUCGGUUGAUAUCACUAUACCUCUAAUAAAGAUCUUGUACAUAUAGAAGAAAGAUAAGCAAGUAGAGAAAAUUCCAAUAACAGUCCAAUAUGAAAGAUUGCCUGACUUUUGUUACUGCUGUGGUUGUUUUGGACACCGAUACAAAAAAUGUGCAGUAUAUAGAAAUCAAGCAAAGGAGGAUUUACUUUACGGCUCAUGGGUUAAGGCUCAAACCACAGUUGAAAAGUGGAAACAGAGCAGAGUUAGGGGAAAAUGGAAUACAACACUAGAAGACUCAAACAAUGGAUCAUAAACACAACCUAAAAAUCCAAAUAGCAAAGAUUUGCAGACUCAAAAUCCUACAGGCAAACCGAAUUUGGAUAUAGGGCAGACCUAGAACCAGAACCCUUAGAGACGGGGGAGCAUUUAGUGCAGGGGGAAGCAAGCUUGGGACUGGUGAACAAUAAUAACCAAAAGCAAAGAGUGCCAGCUGGUAAAAUCAACAUCAGUAGGGUGCAGAUACUACAAAUGGGGAAGCUAAAUUAAGAAGAGAAAGGGCAGGAUCUUCAAAACUUGAAGAUCAAAAAGAGGGGGGGGNNNNNNNNNNNNNNNNNNNNNNNNNNNNNNNNNNNNNNNNNNNNNNNNNNNNNNNNNNNNNNNNNNNNNNNNNNNNNNNNNNNNNNNNNNNNNNNNNNNNNNNNNNNNNNNNNNNNNNNNNNNNNNNNNNNNNNNNNNNNNNNNNNNNNNNNNNNNNNNNNNNNNNNNNNNNNNNNNNNNNNNNNNNNNNNNNNNNNNNNNNNNNNNNNNNNNNNNNNNNNNNNNNNNNNNNNNNNNNNNNNNNGGGGGGGGGGGGGGGGGAUGGUAGCUUCUCCCUCAAUUCAAACAGCAGCUGAAAUAUAAGAAGUAGCUAAUGAGCCAGAUGUUUCUGUAGCAAAGCCCAAAUGGAGAAAAUGAAAAAUACUAGUGAAGAGAGCUUUGGAGAGAAAAGAGCUAAAUUAAUUAAUGGGCCUAUUACAAUAACUUACAAGUCAUGCAAAUUUGGCAAGCCUAAAGGCCAAAAGAAAUAAAUAAGAGGCCCAAUGGAAACUAUAUCUCUUGUUUCACCAAGAGUAAAACAAAAGCUGAGAUUAGAGAUAGAUGAAAAGCAAAUUAAUGGAGACUUGGAAAUAGUGAUGGGAGAUAUUGAGAAAAGAGCGACGGAGGCUAGUUGCCAACCUCAUUGACAACUAUGAAUUUCAUCAACUGAAACAUUUAGAGAUUGAGAUUGGGGAAUGACGAAGCAUUCUGAGAAGUCCAAAAAAUUCUCCAAAUGCAUAGACCUCAGUUUAUUUAUUUAUUUAUUUUGGUGAAACAAAACUAAUGUCUACGUAAAUGUAGGAGAAAAGUAGAUAAUUAAGAUUAAAAAAUUGCUUUGAAGUUAGUAAAAUAGGAGAAGGAGGUGCUUUGGUAAUGUUAUAGAACUCAGAGUUAAGGUUGAUGUAAAGUCUUUUAGUAAACAAUAUACUGAAAAUGGGAGUUAUUGGAGAUUGUAUAUGGUCAUCCAAAGCAAGUCAAAAGCAUGACACAUGAACUCUCCUGAAAAGGUUAACUGGCUAAUCUUGAUCGCCUUUUAUUUGUUCUGGGGAUUUUAAUGAAAUUCUAAUGCCUUUUGAGAAGAUAAAAGGGAAUGACAAAGAUGUUAAUAGGAUGCAUGACUUUAGAUAAGUAAUUAGAGAAUGUGAUAUGGUAGAUUUAGGGAGCAAAGGACAUCAUAUUAUAUGGUUUAACAAAGGUUAUUGCCUUUCUUUGAUUGAAGAAAGAUUGGAUCAUAUUAUACGGUUUAAGUUUGGGGGUGUGAUAAUUCUAUGAAAUGAGAGUUAUUACGGAAAUUCUAGAUUUAAAUCAAGACCACUUAGAGAGUGAAUGAUGUGUUUUUAUUAUAUUUUGCAUAAACAACCAUUUUAGUUAAGUCUUAAUAAGUUUUGCUUGAUUUAAAGUAAUUUGUGCUCAAAACAUGUGCAUAAUUGUAGGUUUUCAGAAGUUCAUAAUUCAUGAAGGGAUGCUGAGAUAUUAGGCUAGCAAGAAGAAGAAAGAAUAUGGCCACAAAAGAAGUGAAACACAACUGGGAACAGUGCAGUGUUAUAGCCAUUGCUGGAGCGACCAUUGCUGUAGCAAUCCUGGAACACCGAGGGAGAAAACUUAGCGUAGGUUAGCUGUAGAAUUGCGAUAUGCGGUUUCUUAAUUUGACUCAUGUAGGCUCGAGGCUUUUGUUUACCCUAGUUUUCAGUUAUAAAAGGAGACGCGCAUCACAUAAAACGGCGGCAAGGAAUUAUCUUUGGAAAAAUUGGGAAAAAGAAGAAGGAGAUCAGAACUCAAGGGAACCAAUGCCGCAUCAGUGAAGAAUCCAGCAGAGUUAUUUGGAUUCACUAUCCAUCGUUCUUCACUCUUUGAUUAAACCAAUGUAUUUCAUGACUAAUAUGUUGCUGUUUGUUUUUUUCUUUCAGAAUAUGAACUAAACUUGGUUGUAGUUGAGUGACAAACGAUCUAAUGGGUUCUUGAUUGUUCUUAUGAGUUGCUAUAUCAUUGAUGUAGCAUUUUACUCUAGUAGCUAUUAUUAUAAUUGUUAUUUCGGUUGACCACCCAUUUAAUGGUUCAAAUUAAGAUAGAGCCGCAAAAGGGCAUGUCUUAGUGGAUAUUAUUAGAGUAAUACUUGAUCUUAAUUUAAGUUUCCUGGAUUAAGUUUAUCUUGAAUCCCAUAAGGGCCAUACUUAAAGUUAAGAUUUGUGAUAACUUAGACAUAGGUACUCACCUUGUAGGGUGGAGAGAAUGGAUGUUCAUAAUGUCAUGCCAUAGGUAGAAUAACAAUUGGUCAUUACUAAGAUACUUACGGGUAUGAGAAUUCCAAUAUGCGACAGCUGAGGAUGUAAAAUAAAUUUUGCCCAAUACUAUAGAAAUUGAUGUAGCAACUGGUGUUAACUUGAUGAAAUGCAGUCAGCCCAUAAAAAGAGUUUGAUCAUUCAACUAACUUAUUUUCAUUUAAUUCUUCGACACAUUUUUAUUUAAUUUAUUUCAUUACUGCAUUGUUUCAUUUUUAUUCUCUCACAAUUAUCAAUUUCAAUAGUAACCAACUUUACAUUUGUUCCUCUCGGAAUCAAGGUAGAUUGCACUAUUGUGAUUACUGUAGCAUUUCUAGUAACAUCAAUCCCUGUGGAGACGAUCUUAAAUAUUCAUCACUUUAUUACUUGUUGUGUAUACUUGGACAUUAGCAUCAAUAGCAUUAGAAUAUACCCAACAGAGUGGCAAAGGGUAUGAUUUAACUACAAAGAGGUUUGAGGCAGGGUUGCCCUCUCUCGUCUUACUCAUGCAGAAAAAAUCAAAGCAGUUUAUCAACAGUUUAAAGUUUAAUAGAAACUUAUCAAUCACACAUCUCUUCUUUGCAAAUGAUAUCCUUACAUUUACAAAGGUUACAACUAUAGGUACAAAUUUAAAGGCUAUUUUUUAAACUAUUAUGCAGCUACUUCAAGUCAGAUCCUUAAUUAUGAGAAGUCUUCAACAUUUUUUUAGUGGAAACACUUAAGUUAGAUAAAUUGCUACAAUCAAAAUCAUCUGUUAGCUCUAAGUUGUGUCUUGGCAUGAGAAAUAUCUUAAUUUGCCAUCCAUGGUGGGAAGAAAGAAGGUGAGUUUUUUCGAAGGUAUCAAUCUCAGAGUUUUAAAUAAGAUAUCGAGUUAGCAAAGUAAAUUAUUUUCUAGUGGUGGGAGAGAAGUGCUCAUCAAAGUAGUUGUCCAAUAAUAUAUGUUUACACCAUGAGUGUUUUCAAGAUUCUGAUGGGUUUAUAUGAUGACAUUCAAAAGGCAAUAGCAAGAUUCUGGUUGAGUUCAAAAGAAUAUCAAAAAAACAUUCAUUGGGCUAAAUAGGAGAAAGUAUGCAAAUUUAAAGGUAGAAGGGGUAUUAGGAUUUAAGGAAUUGUCUAGCUCUAACCAAGCUCUAGUGGCAAAAUAAGGCUGGAGGCUCAUGAAGUUUCCUAGUUCACUAAUGGCAAAAGGUUUUAUUGGCCCAAUAGUUUAAGAAGUCAAUUUUUUUAAAUGCAAGUUAGUAUGUAAGCCAUCCCUUAUAUGUAAGAGCAUUAUUUCAGGUAGACAAGUGCUUUAUAAUGGUUUGGGAUGAAUAGGUAAUGGAGAACAAGUGUAGAUUUACAAAAGUUUUUGAAUUCCUAGAUCAAUUACUUUAAAUAUGUUGUCUACACUAACACUGCCCUUGAAAGAGACUACAAUAUCAGCUCUGAUUGAUAAGGAACACAAGUGGAAGGGGGACUUGACUUGCUAAAUUUUAUACCUGAAGUUGCAGAUCAGAUUAUAAAGAUUUCACUCCAAUAAUCUUAAGACUUGAUAAGCCUCUUUAUUCUUUUGAUAAAUAUGGUAACUACUUAAUGAAGAGUGGGUACAAACUUGCACAUAGACUAAAGAUGCGAGACUAUCCAAGCCCUUCAAGAUCAAGUAUCACCGAAUGUAAUGCAAUUUGGAGGCUGGAAUUGCCAGAAAAAAUAAAAAUUUUUAUGUAGAGAGCUGUUCAAAACUUCCUUCUAGCAGUUGAGAAUCUAUGGAAAAAGAGAAUCUUACAAUAACCAUGGUAUCAAAGGUGUGGUAGAGAAGGAGAAAAUGUUGCUUAUGCCCACAUAACCUGCAAAGCUUUCAAAAGAUAUGGAAAAUCAUAACUUUUUAAACAAAAAGGCAAUGCCUUGCAAACCAAGACUUAUUGAACGUUCUACAAUAUUUGAUAAAAUGAGACGCAAAUCAGAUCUGUAACUUUUUAUUCCUUUGUUUUGAGCUAAUUGGCAUCAAGAAAUCUUUUUAUCUUUGAAGAGAGAAGGAAGAUUCACAAAUAUCAGUGGCUAUAGUUGAAGCAAUAGUAAAGUCAUAUAAGAAAAUCAAAUCACCCCAAAAAUGAUAUAUCUCAAUAAAUUCCAGCAAACUAGACUUACAAACCUCCUCCGGGAGGCUCUUUUUAAGGUGAAUAUGGAUGCAGCAACAAAGUUGAAAGUGCAUACUGCAGGAUUAUGAUAAGUGAUUAGAGAUUCAGGGAAACUUAAUAACUAUAGCUAUGAAGAAAUCAACAUUCAGAUUGAGACUUGAAACUACAAAAGGGCUGCUUGUGUGCCACUGAUAAAUGAAAUUGAUUGUUAAGAAAUUGUUGAACUUAACAAAUGGAGGAAAUGUAGUCAAACCAAGAUCUCAUGGACCAUUACUGACACAGAAGAGAUGUUAAAAAGACUAAGUCAGGCUAGAAUGUAGCACACUUUAAGGCUAUGUAAUGGCAGUACACAUUAUCUAGCCAAAAUGGCUUUAAACAUUGUAAAACCUAUAAUGUAGGUGGGAACUUCUUUAAUUCAUAUGAUAUAUUUGUUGUUGUUGUUCUUCUUCUUAAAAAAAAAAAGAUUACCUUAACCUUAUGUCAUUCAAAUAGUGAAAAUUUAUGACUCCAAAUGCAUAUUGCAAAUUUGCCUAUAAUUGCCUUUCUAUCUAAUCAAGGAUUUCUAUAAACUAAUUCACCAAUAAAUCACCCACUGUUUUAACAAACCAUCAUAUAAAAAAAAUAACCAUGGAUAUUGUCUUUCAAGCUCCACAUUUAACAAACUAAAUAUUAAUCAUACUUUUAAUAAGACCCAUCAAUAUCCUAUGUUGGUGUUUAAUGUUAAUAAAAUCCCACUUAAUCCCAUAUCAUUAGGCUAUUUUCUUGUCCAAUGUGACUAAUUAAAAUCAUUAAUAAAGAUUUUGCUGAAAAUUUGGCAGAGUCUCCCCUGCAUUUUGACAUUUUCAACUUGUGAAUUUGAAAAACAAGCACUCCAAAAUAAUCCAAUAUUCAACCAACUUUAUUGGUCAACCUCAACCUCCUCAAUUAUAAUACAAAACAUUAUAGUAAAUAAAACACUUUAAUGAUCUAAUCCAAAUAUUACCCAACAUCUCCAAAGUAUUAAAAGAGUAAUGCCAACAUACUUUAAACAUCCAUAAUCAUUAAAUCAUAGAAUAAUUAUACAAUCCAAAAUGAGAUGUUCAAAAUACUCAAAUAAUAUCAUCCAUGUCUCUUAGCACCAUCAUGUACAGUCACUAUGUUGACUAAUAUACUUGCAAUCUCUUGUGAGAGAAAAAAUAUAAUAAAAUGGGGUAAGUAUAAAACUUAGUGAGUAUAAAACAGUUUUCAAAAUAAAAUUUUCUUUAAAAUUACUAUGUUAUUGCAAUAUACAUACAAUUUUCGUGGACUUAUAUAUAAGACAACAUAAGUAAAAUAUUUAGAUUUUAAAUCAAUUAACUAGCUUUUAGGAAAAGAACACACAAUGUCGUACAUAAUAAUCAUGAAAAUCAUCUUAAGGGGAGAAAACACACACAUGAUUUAAAACUGUCACUAAGCAAGUACCACGAAAAUAACUUUGUCAUACUUAGAUCUCAUAUGAGUGGUGCAAUGAUUUAUUAAAAGACAAUGUCAUGUCCGAAGCUCAACAGGUAGACCAAUAACAUAGCAUCUCAUAUAUUUAAUCAUACUGCAUGAACAAAAUAGCCUCAAAGGGCAAAAGUACACAAGCACAUGGCCCGAUGUCUUGUGUGCGCUCAAAUGAGCCCUAAAGGCCUCUAUGUCAAUUGUACCUCUGUAUUGUAUCUCUAUAAUUGUAUCUCUAUAACUAUAUCUUUAUACUCAUCCAUGUGUCUAAAAGGGAUGGGUACAAUUUAAUAAUUUUGAAAACAAACUUUACACACAUGUACAUAAAGCAUUUUAAACAUAUUUGAAGUCUAAAUUCCUUUUCACUAAACAUAUUUUAAUAUUAAAAAAAAUCAAUGAAUCAUAUCCUUUAAAAAACGUAUUAAUUUGCAAAUAAAAACUAUUUUGAGAAAACUUGAAGCAUUAAAGAUUUCUUUGCAAAAAUGAUUUACUUUUCUAAUAUUAAAAUAGUAAAAGAAAAAUAUAAAAUAUAAGUUUAAUAUAUUCAACUCAAAAUGACCAUACUCAAACUUGGUUAAUCUCAAUAUCUUGGCAUUGUUUCACGGCCAUGGCUCUUUUAAAUCAAAGGAAACAUAAGCAUCCUCUAAAUUAAUUAAACUAAUUCUCAACAAAUUCCUUAACCAAAACCCUUAUAAAAACUUCAUGGCCUAAUUUGAUAUAACUUUUUACCCAUUUAUAAGCCAUUAAAUGUUAUUUUGAAAUCAUAUCUGACAAUAGUUCUUUUGAAAGCUACCAUGUUAGCACAAACCAGCACCCUUACACUUUGUAAAUUUAUCUUUCCAAUUCACAAUCUAAAGCCUUUAAAGUAGUUUAAACUUUAAAACACAAGCUCUUCUUUCACGAGAGCUCUCAUGCGAAUAGAGCUUCGUGAAUGGAAGCAUUCUUAGGGGUUGCAGGACCCAUAUGGUCACUCCGAGAGUGAGUGGUUUAGUUCUUACCAGUAGGCUCUUUAGCUAGAGCUCUGGAAGGAAGGCAGAGAAGGAGUAUGAUAGGUGAUAAGGGGUAUUAAUAUCUCAGUGUUAGGUUAGUCAGGUGUUUAAAGUUUGCUCAACCUCUUAGCAUUAAUAUCCAUGGAUACAAAAGAGUUAAUUCGCAAAUGCAGAGCAAUCACAAUACGAGAGGAAGACAGAACCCAAAUGUCAGUAAAAGUAAAUAUGAAAGCAAAAAGAAGGGAAGUUUUGGCAGGAUGCCUGGUGGGCAAAAUUCUGCUGUCUAGAAGUGUCAACAAAGAAGGUCUCAAAAGUGCUUUGCAACAGGCUUGGCGAACACUCAAAGAAGUAAAAAUUGAGAGCUUGGGAAGCAAUAUUUUCAUGUUUAAGUUUGUAGUUGAGGCAGACAAAAGAAGAGUAAUCAUGGGUGGCCCGUGGCACUUUGACAGAGCUCUGAUAGUUCUUACCGAGCCAAGAAGAAUUGGGGAGAUCUCCAAGCAAUCAUUUGUUUAUGUUUCCUUUUGGGUGCAGAUCCGCAAUGUUCCAAUUGCGUGUAUGGAGAAGGAUUUUCUUUAUGAGCUAGGAGGAAAGAUUGGGGAAGUAGAAGAGGUAGAGACUAACGAAAAUGGAGAUUGUAUUGGGGAACUUGCUAGAAUAAGGAUAACUAUCAACAUAACACAACCAUUGAAGAAAGUAUUAUUUCUCAAACAAGAAGGUGAAACAGAUAUACCAAUGCCAGCGGUGUAUGAACGAUUGCCCGAUUUUUGUUUCUGCUGUGGUAUCAUUGGGCACCAAUACAAAGAAUGCUCUAAGUACCAGGGGCAACCAAAAGAAGACUUUCCCUUUGGGGUGUGGAUGAAAGCUAUCACAAUUGGAGGACGCCUAAAGAAAUACCGCAACAAAGAGAGAUGGCAAAACGAAGGAAAUAGAGCUGCGAAAUUGGCAAGCUCAGAGCAGUAUGAACAGUCUCAACAAAAUCAGCAAGAACAGAUGAACCCGAACGAUAAAAACGGGUUAGAACCCGAUAUGGAGGAAAUGAGUCAAACUAGAGAGCAUGACAGCAACAUCGAGGUGCAACGGGUAGUUGAGAAGCAUUUAAUGGAGGGAGGGACAGAACUGAUGGCUAAGAAGCAGGUAGACGGCAAAAUGGAAAGGGUGGUUAUUGACAAUGUAACAGCACCUAGAGAACUGAGAAUUCAAGCGGGAGUUGAAGUAUCAAAAGUGAGGGAAAAUUCGAAAACAGCUGGGGUUGAGAUGUUUAAGGAGAUAAUGGGCCCGAAAGCUAUCCUUAAUAGCCCAACCAGAUUAAAUUAUGAGGAAACAGAGGAGGAAAGAAUAAGAGAUGGCCUGGGAGUUUCUCAAAGUCAAGCUAACCGACAGAAAUGGAAAAGGCAAACUCGAGCCUUUAAGAGUGAAGGAGGAAUCAAGUUGGGAUCAGGUGCUCAAAAAAGACCAAACAAUGAGGCAAUAGGGCUAAGCCCGAAGCAAAAGAAAUGUAGAGGUGCUAGCCCCUCUCCAGCUAAAACAAAGAAACACACUACAGCAGCAGCAAUAACUAAACAGCUCUGGGAGCCACUGGAAAUGGAGGAGAUGGAGCUCACAGCUACAAUCACAGAAGAGAGAUCGGCGGAGGCUGGUAGCCAGCCCCGCCGGAAGCCAUGAUAGUGCUCAGUUGGAACAUUCGGGGUUUUGGGGAAUCCCCGAAUGUUUCUAGCUCUCAGGAAAAUUCUCCAAAUGCACGGUCCUCACCUUGUGUUUUUAUGUGAAACGAAGUUGAUGACCUCGCAAAUGAAUGGGGUGUGCAAUAAGCUUAAUUAUGAAAAUUAUUUUGCUGUAAGUAGUAUUGGGAGAGGAGGUGGCCUAGCAAUGCUUUGGAACUCAGACACGAAUGUGCAAGUCCAAUCUUUCAGCAAGCAUCAUAUCGAUGUUGAAAUCCAGAUGGACAAUGGUAGACAAGUUCGAUGCACAGGGGUCUAUGGUCACCCAGAAACGAGACAAAAACGGCACACUUGGACUUUACUGAGGCGCCUUACAAAUUUAUCAACUAGUCCCUGGCUUUGCUUCGGAGAUUUUAACAAAAUCCUUCAUCCAUGUGAAAAGAGUGGAGGAAACAAGAGACAUCCAAAUUUAAUUCAUGAUUUCAGAGAGGCCUUGAGGGAUUGUGACCUUCUGGACGUGGGAUUCGAGGGGUACCCUUUUACUUGGAGCAAUGGCAGAUAUGGUCCUGGCUUUGUCAAAGAAAGGCCUGACAGAUUUAUGAGUCACAAUACUUAGAGGGACAUAUUUUCGGAUUGUGCAGCCACCAACAUUGACACAUGGACCUCAGAUCAUUGUCCUGUAUUGAUGAAGGUUCAAGAACGGGGCAACGGGAUAACAAAUAACAAAAGUCAGGCUUCUCGGAGCUUCUACGAAGAUAUGUGGAGCCCUUAUGAUGCGUGUAAAGAGAUUAUUGAGGAGGAAUUGAGCUGGCAAGGGAGCGGGAAUAGUGAGAACCCUGUGCACCUAUUUCAAAAAGUUUCCAAGAAUUCCUUGGCCAGGCUGCUGCAAUGGAGUAAAGAAGAGUUCAAAGGUAGACAAAAGAAGUUGGAAAAGCUAAUGAAGCAGCUUCAAAGCCUCAAGCAGAGAAGAGUGCAGUAUGAGAAUGGGGAUUCGAUUAAAGGGGUGGAAAGGAAAAUCCAAAAUAUGCUAGCUGAUGAUGAAAUAUAUUGGAAACAACGCUCAAGGGCUGACUGGCUGAAGGAAGGGGACAGAAACACAAAAUGUUUACUAUAAGGCUUCAUCUAGAAAGAAGAAGAAUCGGAUUUGGGGAAUUGAAAGUGAAGCGGGAAGGUGGUUGGAUAAAGCUGAGGAAGUUGAGUAUGAAUUCUGUAAAUAUUUCUCCAAUUUGUUCACUUCAUCCAAGCCGAACCAAGCUCAAACAACAGCUGCUCUUUCUGGAGUUUCUCGGAGAGUUACUAGUGAGAUGAAUAGAAAUCUAGAGAUGCUGUUUAUAGCUGACGAAGUAAAGGAAGCUCUUUUUCAAAUGUGCCCGACCAAGGCUCCUGGUCCCGAUGGCUUGCCGGCAGUGUUUUAUCAAAAGCACUGGCACUUGGUUAAACAAGGGGUUAUCUCUACAUGUCUUCACAUCUUCAAUAAGCAAGGUACCUUAGCCCCUCUCAACCACACUUACAUUGCUUUAAUUCCGAAGAAAGAGAAACCUAGGAAAGUUACCGACUUUAGGCCUAUUAGUCUAUGCAAUGUCAUUUAUCGGAUUGUUGCUAAAGCCAUAGCUAAUAGACUUAAGCAUGUUAUGCACAAAAUUAUCUCCCCAAUGCAAAAUGCUUUCAUUCCCGAUCGGUUGAUUACUGACAAUAUCAUUAUAGGCUAUGAGUGCCUCCAUAAGAUAAGGCAUUGUAAAGGGAGAAAAAAUGGAUUAGUAGCCCUGAAGCUUGAUAUCAGUAAAGCUUACGACAGGCUAGAAUGGAAGUUCUUAGAGCACACAAUGGAGUCUCUAGGAUUCUCAAGGGGUUGGAUCAACCUAAUUAUGCGAUGUGUUAGCUCCGUUUCAUUUUCAGUUGUUAUAAAUGGGGCUGUGAGCAGGGUAAUUCAACCUCAACGAGGUUUACGCCAAGGUUGCCCACUCUCCCCGUACUUGUUCAUCAUGUGUAUGGAGGCCUUUUCUUCCCUACUACUUCAAGCGGAGCAGCAAGGGCUCAUCCAUGGUCUGUCAUUCGGGAAGGACUUAAGGAUCUCUCACCUCUUGUUUGCGGAUGAUAGUCUGGUCUUCACGAGAGCGUCGGUUGCUGAUUGUCAAAACUUGAAAAGGAUCUUUGACUGCUACUCGACAGCCUCUAGUCAGCUGUUCAACUUCGAGAAAUCAUCAAUGUUUCUCAGCGGUAACAUCCAGGAUGGGCAAGCUUCAUCAAUUAAGGAUAUUUUUCAGCUCAACAUUGUCUCAAGGCAUGAAAGAUACUUAGGAUUGCCUUCCAUGAUUGGAAGGAAGAGAAGUAAUUUUUUUAAUGACAUCAAGCUGAAGAUUUACAAUAAGGUAUCGAGUUGCCAACAUAAAUUCUUCUCCUGUGGGGGUACAGAGGUUUUGAUUAAGGCUGCAGCUCUGGCCAUUCCUACAUACGCAAUGAGCAUUUUUAAGAUUCCCUUGGGCAUUUGUGAUGAUAUCCAGAGAGUAAUAGCAAACUUUUGGUGGGGCUAAAAAAAGGACAAGAAGAAUAUUCAUUGGUCAAGAUGGGAUAAGCUAAGUCAGUCUAAGUGCAGAGGAGGUAUGGGAUUCAGGGACUUUUCGAGCUUCAAUCAGGCGUUAUUAGCAAAGCAAGGCUAGAAUCUUACAAGCUCGAUACUUCCAGAACAAGGACUUUUUGAGUGCAGGGCUCGGCUCCAAGCCAUCUUUUAUAUGGAGAAGCAUUUUGUGGGGUCGGCAAGUUAUUUCCAAGGGUUCAAGAUGGAGGGUGGGAAAUGGUCAAAGCAUUAUGAUCCAUAAGUCAAAUUGGUUACCCAGGCCCUCUACCUUUAAACCAAUUGCCAGACCAAAUUUACCAGCUGAUGCAGUAGUUGUUGAGUUAAUCGAUGUUGAGCAUUGCUGGAAUAAGAGACUGAUUUACAGUGUUUUUGACAAAAUGGAUGCGGCAACUAUUGUUAGAAUCCCUCUCCUUAGAAGACCAAUGAGGGAUGAAGUUAUUUGGCAUUAUAAUAAGAGAGGUCAAUUCUCAGUCAAGAGUGGGUAUCGGGUUGCUUUGAGCCUGAAACUUCCAGCCACUCCAUCAAGUUCAGAAAAUCCCAAUAGUCAAUGGAAGUUUAUCUGGUUGCUUACUCUGCCUGAGAAGAUAAGAAUUUUUGUGUGGAGGGCUGUUAAGAACAUUCUUCCAUCAGCUGAAAAUCUGUGGAAGAGGAAGAUUAUUCAGGAACCCUUGUGUCAGCUCUACAAGAAUGGAAUGGAGACUAUUUUUCAUGCUCUAGUUGGCUACAAAGCUGCUAAGAAAAUCUGGAAAACGACCAGAUUUGCAGAGGAUUUGAAAGGUAGCAGUGAUCAAGAUAUUCUGAGUUUUCUAUUGGCUUUAAAUUCAAAGAGAAGCAAAGCUGAAAUGGAGCAUCUGGUGGGGAUCCUCUGGAUGAUAUGGAAUGCAAAGAAUAGCUGGCUCUUUAAAGGAAAAAAAGAUACUCCUUAAAUCCUUGUUUCCAAGGCUGAAGCUGUGAUAGAAGCUUAUCAAAGAACCCAAAAACCAGCAGCUGCUCAUAUUGGCAAUCAGAGAAGCUUGAUCCGCAAGGCUUGGAAUCCUCCCCAAAGAGGGUACGUCAAAGUUAACGUGGAUGCUGCUACCAACUCAGAAAAGCAGCUUUCAGGCCUUGGGGCUGUAAUUCGAGAUGAGAAUGGGAAUGUGAUUGCAGCUGCUAUUAAGGUAUCAAGAUUCUAUGGGGAAGCUGCUUAUGCAGAAGCAGAAGCAGAAGCCAUUGAUUGGGGCCUGCAAAUUGCUGAUCGAGCAAGCUUAAGUUCGCUGGUGGUGGAAUCAGAUGCUCAAGAAGUUGUUCAGUUGGUAAACAACAACCAGGGCUGCAAAUCCGAGAUAUAUUGGAUUAUUUCAGAGGUGCAAAGUAUGCUGGAAAAUUUUAACUCUAUAAGUGUUCAAUAUACUCAUAGAUCAUGUAAUGUUUUAGCCCACUCUCUAGCAAAACUAGCUUUAGAGACUUGAAACUAUUGUGUGGAUGGGUUCAUUCCCCCCUCAUUUGCUGUACUUAUUUUCUUCUGUGAAAUGAAAGCAUUUUCCUUUAAAAAAAAAAAAAGAAAGCUACCAUAUUAGCUAGCUAAUCACCAAUCAAUGUCAAUCCUCAAUAAUUUACAUAUCCCCCAAUUUCAUGAACCUUAUACAUAUCCAAUUAUAACCACUUUAAUUUAUUUUCCCUAUAAGAACUUAAUUUUAUAUUUUGAGAAAAUUCUACUCCAAGAUUCAGAUAUCAAAAUACCUAAUCCUUAAAUUUAUUUAAUAAGCAAACCCAAAGUUUCAUCAUAAAAAAUCAAAUUAAUCAUAACACAUAUAUUUCUACAUAAUUAACAUUCCUCAACUUUAAACUUUUCUUAAACUUAAAAGUAAUAUAUAAUAAAUGAACUAAUAUUAGAAAAAUGAAUACAUUCCCAAUACAAUAUUUCUGUAAAACUUAUGUUUAUUUUUAAUAACUUUUUAAUCUUUUGCAAGCCUCCAAAUCCCAAUUCCAAAUCUAGUAGAAAACUCAACAAUUAUCAAACCUAUCUUGAAUUUCAUAAAACUGCUAGGCAGGGCAGAGGACAUAUAAGAUUAGAGGGCGCCAUGGCCCUUACUGAAUUUGAAAAAUUUUUAAGGUUUAUAAGUAAAAUAUGAGAAGUUAGUGUAAAAUGUCCAUAUUGGCCCCUGCACAAUUAAUGUAUAAAGUAUAUAUAUUAGAUCAUAUUGUAAUUUUACUGUUUAGCCCACUAAUGAUACCAUCAAAAUAGUAAGAAACAAAUCCGUCAAGCCCACUAAAACCCAAUAAAUCACUAAUAUAUAAUGACAUAAAAAUUGAAAGUUUAAAUGGUGGGGCUUCCAUGAAAUUUUCCAGUCAACAAAUUACUCUCCCAAAUUUGUCAUUCUCCCAGCUCACUCUCUCAAAGCUCUUUCCUAAUUCCUUCUUCUUUUCCUUUUUUAUUCUUCUUUUCCUUUUUUUAUCUUCUUCAUCCCUCCCUCAUGGAAACAAAUAUUCUUCAAUAAUACCUAAACUGCAUUUUCACAUAAAGAAAA